AUACGUAGGUGGCGAGCGUUGUCCGGAAUUACUGGGCGUAAAGGGCGUGUAGGCGGGGAUGCAAGUCAGAUGUGAAAUCCCGAGGCUCAACCUCGGAGCUGCAUCUGAAACUGUGUCUCUUGAGUGUCGGAGAGGAAAGCGGAAUUCCCAGUGUAGCGGUGAAAUGCGUAGAUAUUGGGAGGAACACCGGUGGCGAAGGCGGUUUUCUGGACGACAACUGACGCUGAGGCGCGAAAGCGUGGGGAGCAAACAGGAUUAGAUACCCUGGUAGUCCACGCCGUAAACGAUGGAUACUAGGUGUAGGAGGUAUCGACCCCUUCUGUGCCGGAGUUAACACAAUAAGUAUCCCACCUGGGGAGUACGGCCGCAAGGUUGAA
Molecule: ribosomal RNA, 377 nt
Filed under: uncultured bacterium
Lineage: Bacteria
Description: bacterial SSU rRNA
Rfam family: Bacterial small subunit ribosomal RNA
Source: RNAcentral